GCUGACGACACGGAGACACGGAGAGAGGCAUUUCUGACACACACACCCCAAAACACAUACUUGUACACAUACACACCCUGAAUCCAGACAUCCAGAAAACCUUUGGAUAUGAGGGUUUAAGACAUAAUCGACACACAACUUGUACACAAGUUAAAUAGACCAUAUGAGCAGUGUGAGAAAAAACACAUGACCAGUCUGAGGACAUUGACGAGGCAACGCUGGGUACGUAUGGUUUUUAGACAUCCAUCAUGACACUAGGACACAGUCACAAAAUAAACAUGUUCAGUUAACAAAUAAGAAAUGGUCAGUUUUCCAUUCACACAACAUGUGUGAUGCUUUUACUAGCAUUUUAUCAGUGUUUUCCCCAGCGGAUACGCUCUGGGGUUGAGAAAACGGUCACACUCUUCACUUCCAAUUUGAUCCAUAUAAUAGCCCAUUUCCCUAGACAUUCCAGUUAGAUCUGAGAGGGUCAGAUUGGUUUAAGCAAUAUGGUAAUAGCUCCAUUUCCCCCUCUGAUUGGCUAGGUCAAAGCAUUACCAUAUUAGUGACACCUAUCUUUAAAAAAAAUAUAUAUUAUCUAGAGAAGUACCUUGGGUUAGAGGCUGGGGGUAGAUUUGGAAUUCCACACUAUUCUGUUGUGAGAACGAAUUAUGAUGAAGUCACCCUAGACAUUGAUCUACGGUCAGCUUUGUAUUUCCCCCCAAUGGUUAAGGUUAGGAUUUGGGGAAGGUCAGCUGAUCCUAGACCUGUGCUUAGAGACAACUUCAACCAGGAACCUACUGUAGUGUUGUAUGUACAUCGUAUGUUUACAGUGCAGUUGGACCAUGGCACGUAGUAGCCAUCUUUCCAAUCACAACGUCACUGCACUGUGGACACCUUUACUGACAGUCACGGCACCACGCUCUCUGAGAUAACCAAAUCUCUCUCAGAGGAGUUGAAACACAAAACAAACACUGAACGGUGGCAACAAUGUAACUGUGGUUGACAGAAGUCAGAUAAAAAAAGACUGAGAAGACGUUCACACAUCCUUAAUGAUGUUAUAUUAGGUCUCACACCAAUAUCAGCCUGCUUUUUGGUGAUAGGCACAAGUGUUCUUUGUAGAUAGAUAGAGACAGAGAGAGACAGAGAGAUAUAUAUAAAGAGCGUAAUACUCAAUAGUAUUAGUUGCCCAUAAACAACUUUUAAAGUGAGCAAAUUAUAAAAUGCCCAUAUAGCAGUAAACUAUCAAUUUAAGGGGGAUAGCUUGAUAGAUGUACUAUCCCUUUAAGGGGGAUAGCCAGAUAGAUGUACUAUCCCUUUAAGGGGGAUAGCCAGAUAGAUGUACUAUCCCUUUAAGGGGGAUAGCCAGAUAGAACCACUACAAGGGAUAGUACAUUUAUCUCUGAUUUUGCUAUAGCGCAGAAAUGUGGACCAACUCUCAAUGCGUGAACACGAUAAGGAAGGAGUGAAGUUGUACCUCGGUACAGACCAGAAUUUCACUCUGACCCCCUUUUCCUUAUAUGGCCAUUGUUUGUUCAGUCUAUUGCUUGUGCUUUCGUGAGCUGUGAAAAUGAAUUUCCACUGUAAGUACAACUAAUCUUGAUCGACACACACUCACCCUCACCCCUGUAGACACAGAUAUACCGUAGUGUAUACAAUACGUGUCUCUUAUGCUGGUAGGGCGAUGCAGACCCAUGUUUGGCAAUAUGCACAUCUGAUGGAUACCAAAAGGUCAAAUGCCUUGCGUGCCUCACAUUCCUCUCAUUAACUACCCUCACACUACUCCAGCGCCCACUAACACACUCCCCCAGUACCCACCUUACACACACACUCCCCCAGUACCCACCUUACACACACACACUCCCCCAGUACCCACCCUACACACACCAUGGGUCAUGUUUGGCGUAAAUUAACCAGUCUGCAACCUUUACAGCCAGUGGGGCACUUCUGUUUUCUCAGGGCUUGUUACAGGAAUGUUUACCGUGACCAUGGCAACAACUCAGUGGUGGAAGACGUCAUUCCAAAGGCUUUUCUCCAGAAUGCUUUACCAGCGUUCCCGAACAGCGUCAGAGAGCCUUGUUGUGGAGAAGCUGUCACUGGAGACGUCAACCAUGGAGUCAUCGUAGGAGCCGGACAUGGCUGCUGCCCUCGGUACCCACAAUCCUCAGGGGCUGAAACACACAGUCAACAACACCAUAACACACAGCAGACUGGCUGUUCUACAGACUGGCUGCAGGGGACAGGACAGCACUGAGGUCUUCAAAAGUGCUAUUUUUAUUGCAUUGAAUAAAAGUUUUACUUUCUACCCUAGCUGGGUCUUUCCUUA
Oncorhynchus mykiss (rainbow trout) is the source of this 2305-nucleotide non-coding RNA. NCBI's taxonomy places the organism in Eukaryota, Metazoa, Chordata, Actinopteri, Salmoniformes, Salmonidae. The record is from RefSeq and is a predicted model, not a curated record.